RNAcentral lists this ribosomal RNA (459 nucleotides) under uncultured bacterium. Its description in RNAcentral is "partial 16S ribosomal RNA". It matches the Rfam family "Bacterial small subunit ribosomal RNA", at positions 338 to 795 of the family's 1533-position model. The record is from RNAcentral.
CCUACGGGAGGCAGCAGUGAGGAAUAUUGGUCAAUGGGCGCGAGCCUGAACCAGCCAAGUCGCGUGAGGGAAGACGGUCCUAUGGAUUGUAAACCUCUUUUGUCGGGGAGCAAAAGACGCCACGCGUGGCGUUCCGAGAGUACCCGAAGAAAAAGCAUCGGCUAACUCCGUGCCAUCAGCCGCCGUAAUACGGAGGAUGCGAGCGUUAUCCGGAUUUAUUGGGGUGAAGGGGUACGCAGGCGGAAGGUCACGUCAGAGGUAAAAUUGAGAGGCUCAACCGCUGGGAGCCGUUGAAACUGGUGUUCUUGAGUGAGUGAGAAGUAUGCGGAAUGCGGGGUGUAGCGGUGAAAUGCAUAGAUAUCACGCAGAACUCCGAUUGCGAAGGCAGCAUACCGGCGCUCAACUGACGCUCAUGCACGAAAGUGUGGGUAUCGAACAGGAUUAGAUACCCUUGUAGUC